CGUCACUUUGACAACACAAACAAAAAAAAAAAUCCGGAGCCUGCAUGAUUACAUCCACCGUUGAAACACAACUUAUGGAGGAACAGAAUGUUAUACAAAUAUUUCAAAGGCUACGGAAGUGAAAUGAAAUUGGAUAUCUAUCUGUCGACGCAAUUAGUUUUUCGAGCCUAUCGAUUAUAAGUUCCGAAAAGCCAAUACAUGCAACAUAUGCUGUAAAAGAUCUUUGACCUAAAAGAUAUACCUACAGCCAAUUGUAAUUGUCGAUGAUGAAGUCGUAUGUUUUGAAAAAAGUAGUGAUGAUGAUACCGCAAAAUCAAAGUUGGAAGAAGCGAUUGACACUAAACAUGAUUCUAGCCUGGAGGAAGCACCAGAGGAGAAGAAUAUUAUCGUGAUCAGAUUACUAGCGGGCGCUCCCUUUUUCAUUGUAACGUAUGUAAAUUGACAUUCGAGACGACAGCAAAUCUCAUGGAAACAUUCACAUACCCGAGUAAAAAGUUCAUUGUCGACACGUCCAUGGCAAGGCU
Molecule: long non-coding RNA, 524 nt
Organism: Topomyia yanbarensis
Lineage: Eukaryota; Metazoa; Arthropoda; Insecta; Diptera; Culicidae
Exons: 3
Source: RefSeq, a predicted model, not a curated record